RNAcentral lists this ribosomal RNA (253 nucleotides) under uncultured bacterium. RNAcentral's name for it is "partial 16S ribosomal RNA". It matches the Rfam family "Bacterial small subunit ribosomal RNA", at positions 524 to 776 of the family's 1533-position model. The record is from RNAcentral.
UACGUAGGGGGCAAGCGUUGUCCGGAUUUAUUGGGCGUAAAGAGCGUGUAGGCGGUUCGGUAGGUCCGUUGCGAAAACUCGAGGCUCAACCUCGAGACGCCGAUGGAAACCAUCGAACUAGAGUCCGGAAGAGGAGAGUGGAAUUCCUGGUGUAGCGGUGAAAUGCGCAGAUAUCAGGAAGAACACCCGUGGCUAAGGCGGCUCUCUGGGACGGUACUGACGCUGAGACGCGAAAGCGUGGGGAGCGAACAGG